UACGUAGGGUGCGAGCGUUAAUCGGAAUUACUGGGCGUAAAGCGUGCGCAGGCGGUUUGCUAAGACAGGCGUGAAAUCCCCGGGCUUAACCUGGGAACUACGCUUGUAACUGGCAAGCUAGAGUGUGGCAGAGGGGGGUGGAAUUCCACGUGUAGCAGUGAAAUGCGUAGAGAUGUGGAGGAACACCGAUGGCGAAGGCAGCCCCCUGGGCUAACACUGACGCUCAUGCACGAAAGCGUGGGGAGCAAACAGG
Molecule: ribosomal RNA, 253 nt
Filed under: uncultured bacterium
Lineage: Bacteria
Description: partial 16S ribosomal RNA
Rfam family: Bacterial small subunit ribosomal RNA
Source: RNAcentral